RNAcentral lists this ribosomal RNA (376 nucleotides) under uncultured organism. Its description in RNAcentral is "partial 16S ribosomal RNA". It matches the Rfam family "Bacterial small subunit ribosomal RNA", at positions 527 to 896 of the family's 1533-position model. The record is from RNAcentral.
GGAGGGUGCAAGCGUUACCCGGAAUCAUUGGGCGUAAAGCGUCCGCAGGCGGUUUUUUAAGUUGGAUGUUAAAGUUUACAGCUUAACUGUAAAACUAUGUCCAAAACUGAAAAACUAGAGAUCUACAGAGGUACGUGGAAUUCUGUAUGUAGGGGUAAAAUCCGUAGAUAUACAGAGGAACACCAAAAGCGAAGGCAGCGUACUGGGUAGUUUCUGACGCUCAUGGACGAAAGCGUGGGUAGCGAACGGGAUUAGAUACCCCGGUAGUCCACGCCGUAAACGAUGGAUACUAGGUGUUGGGGGACUCGACCCCCUCAGUGCCCGACGCUAACGCAUUAAGUAUCCCCCCGCCUGGGGGAGUACGGUCGCAAGAUUA